AAUGAACGUUGGCGGCAUGGAUUAGGCAUGCAAGUCGCGCGAUAUUUGUAGCAAUACAAUGAAAGCGGCGAAAGGGACAGUAAUGUGUGGGUAUCUACCCUGGGGUCGCGGAUAGCGGCGGGAAACUGCCGGUAAUACGCGAUGAUCUCCCCGGAGCAAAGGUGUGAUUCCGCCCUGGGAUGGGCCCACAUGCUAUUAGCUAGUUGGUGAGGUAACGGCCCACCAAGGCUAAGAUGGCUAGCGGGUGUGAGAGCACGACCCGCGUCACUGGGGCUGAGACACUGCCCAGACACCUACGGGUGGCUGCAGUCGAGAAUCUUUGGCAAUGGGCGCAAGCCUGACCAAGCGAUGCCGCGUGCGGGAUGAAGGCCCUCGGGUUGUAAACCGCUGUCGAGGGGGAUGAAGUUACGGUGGGUACUCCCAUCGUAUUGACAGAUCCCUGGAGGAAGGGUGGGCUAAGUUCGUGCCAGCCGCCGCUGUAACAC
RNAcentral lists this ribosomal RNA (485 nucleotides) under uncultured bacterium. RNAcentral's name for it is "bacterial SSU rRNA". It matches the Rfam family "Bacterial small subunit ribosomal RNA", at positions 29 to 526 of the family's 1533-position model. The record is from RNAcentral.